GCAAGAAGAUAGAAUUUUGCGCCAUUUCUGUUAUUUUUUCAUGUUCUGAAAAGAACGUAAAAUGUAAUGAGAAGUCAUGGAGCAGCUGUUGGGCGUCGAAAUUUAGUUUUCGUUCUGUCCGUGGUUUUUAUUUUAUUCCUGAUUUUUGUCCAGUGGAGUAAAUGAUUCCCCGGUCGCCUGAAGAGUAGUGUGCUGGAGUUUAAAAUUUUCAAUGUGUAUAUCCAGGGUAACGAAGGCCUUUGAGAACAAUGUCUUUUUUCAUUCUUGUUCCAAGGAAAAAGUAGACAUCAGUUCUUGGGUUUGCCAUAAUAAUUACGCAAAAAAACCCCCCCNAAGNCCCCCANGAAAAAAGAAAUAGUUUUUUUUGAACCUGUGACUUGAGUUGUUGAUUCUGUAAAUAUGCAUAAAAUGGGCAGCCUUAUCAACACUGUAACCUGAUCCAAUCAGA
Molecule: unclassified non-coding RNA, 448 nt
Filed under: Plocamium telfairiae
Lineage: Eukaryota; Rhodophyta; Florideophyceae; Plocamiales; Plocamiaceae
Description: ITS2
Source: RNAcentral